Molecule: non-coding RNA, 73 nt
Organism: Entelurus aequoreus (snake pipefish)
Lineage: Eukaryota; Metazoa; Chordata; Actinopteri; Syngnathiformes; Syngnathidae
Source: the annotation of a RefSeq genome assembly
GGUUCCGUAGUGUAGUAGUUAUCACAUCUGCCUGACAUGCAGAAGUACCUGGGUUCGAUUCCCAGUCGAACCA